AGCCAUAUUUUUAGAUCGUUUGAGCCCCCCUCGAAAUAUUUGAAAAGUAUUCAAAAGGUCUUAUUACGUAAUUUGACACUUGGAUUCAUUUUCAGUCGAGUAUCUUCGAUAUGAACUUUAA
Molecule: non-coding RNA, 121 nt
Organism: Caenorhabditis elegans
Lineage: Eukaryota; Metazoa; Nematoda; Chromadorea; Rhabditida; Rhabditidae
Source: Ensembl